AGCGAACGCUGGCGGCGUGCCUAACACAUGCAAGUCGAACGUGAAAGUAGCAAUACUAGUAAAGUGGCGUACGGGUGAGUAACACGUAGGUAAUCUACCUUAAAGUCUGGAAUAACCUGCCGAAAGGCGGGCUAAUACUGGAUAGAGCGAGUGGGCCAUAAAGGUCUGUUCGGGAAAGGGAGCUCGCAAGGGCCCUCGCUUUAGGAUGAGCCUGCGUCCCAUCAGCUAGUUGGUAAGGUAAUGGCUUACCAAGGCUAUGACGGGUAGCUGGCCUGAGAGGAUGAUCAGCCACACUGGAACUGAAACACGGUCCAGACUCCUACGGGAGGCAGCAGUGGGGAAUCUUGCGCAAUGGACGAAAGUCUGACGCAGCCACGCCGCGUGCAGGAAGAAGGCCUUCGGGUUGUAAACUGCUUUAGUCUAGGAAAAAGGGGUGCGAGGUUAAUACCCUCGUGCUUUGAUGGUACUGGAAGAAUAAGCACCGGCUAACUACGUG
This 496-nucleotide ribosomal RNA is filed under the name uncultured bacterium. RNAcentral describes it as "bacterial SSU rRNA". It matches the Rfam family "Bacterial small subunit ribosomal RNA", at positions 29 to 507 of the family's 1533-position model. The record is from RNAcentral.